RNAcentral lists this ribosomal RNA (592 nucleotides) under uncultured bacterium. RNAcentral's name for it is "partial 16S ribosomal RNA". It matches the Rfam family "Bacterial small subunit ribosomal RNA", at positions 355 to 1375 of the family's 1533-position model. The record is from RNAcentral.
UGGGGAAUUUUGGACAAUGGGCGAAAGCCUGAUCCAGCAAUGCCGCGUGUGUGAAGAAGGCCUUCGGGUUGUAAAGCACUUUUGUCCGGAAAGAAAUCCUUGGCUCUAAUACAGUCGGGGGAUGACGGUACCGGAAGAAUAAGCACCGGCUAACUACGUGCCAGCAGCCGCGGUAAUACGUAGGGUGCAAGCGUUAAUCGGAAUUACUGGGCGUAAAGCGUGCGCAGGCGGUUUGCUAAGACCGAUGUGAAAUCCCCGGGCUCAACCUGGGAACUGCAUUGGUGACUGGCAGGCUAGAGUAUGGCAGAGGGGGGUAGAAUUCCACGUGUAGCAGUGAAAUGCGUAGAGAUGUGGAGGAAUACCGAUGGCGAAGGCAGCCCCCCUGGGCCAAUACUGACGCUCAUGCACGAAAAGCGUGGGGGAGCAAAACAGGAUUAGAUACCCCUGGUAGUCCACGCCCUAAAACGAUGUCAACUAGUUGUUGGGGGAUUCAUUUCCUUAGUAACGUAGCUAACGCGUGAAGUUGACCGCCUGGGGAGUACGGUCGCAAGAUUAAAACUCAAAUGAAUUGACGGGGUCAUAGCUGUUUCCU